GUGCUCGCUUUGGCAGCACAUAUACUAAAAUUAGAACGACACAGAGAUUAGCAUGGCCCCCGCGCAAGGAUGACACACAAAUUCACGAAGGAUUCCAUAUUUUU
Physeter macrocephalus (sperm whale) is the source of this 104-nucleotide small nuclear RNA. Lineage: Eukaryota; Metazoa; Chordata; Mammalia; Artiodactyla; Physeteridae. The record is from Ensembl.